This 69-nucleotide transfer RNA is filed under the name Gekko vittatus (white-lined gecko). Its description in RNAcentral is "tRNA-Ile". Lineage: Eukaryota; Metazoa; Chordata; Lepidosauria; Squamata; Gekkonidae. The record is from RNAcentral.
GGAAAUAUGCCCGAAAAUAAGGAUUACUUUGAUAGAGUAAAACAUAGAGACUAAACCCUCUUAUUUCCU